UUCUGCGUAGUUUAGUGGCUAUGACGGGUCCUUGUCAUGAAGGCUUGUCCCGAUUGUUCGGACCAGACCCGGGUUCAAUUCCCGGCGCGGAAG
This 93-nucleotide transfer RNA is filed under the name Malassezia japonica. RNAcentral describes it as "tRNA-Asp". It matches the Rfam family "tRNA". Rfam says of the family: Transfer RNA (tRNA) molecules are approximately 80 nucleotides in length. Their secondary structure includes four short double-helical elements and three loops (D, anti-codon, and T loops). Further hydrogen bonds mediate the characteristic L-shaped molecular structure. tRNAs have two regions of fundamental functional importance: the anti-codon, which is responsible for specific mRNA codon recognition, and the 3' end, to which the tRNAs corresponding amino acid is attached (by aminoacyl-tRNA synthetases). tRNAs cope with the degeneracy of the genetic code in two manners: having more than one tRNA (with a specific anti-codon) for a particular amino acid; and 'wobble' base-pairing, i.e. permitting non-standard base-pairing at the 3rd anti-codon position. The record is from RNAcentral. Lineage: Eukaryota; Fungi; Basidiomycota; Malasseziomycetes; Malasseziales; Malasseziaceae.